CAGAAAUAUCUAAAUGAGCCUUCCUCCUCUCUCUUUAGGGUUUAUCAUCUGAUCCUCAGUGAAACAGGGGAGAAGAGAAUGAUGAAAUCCCUGAGUGUUUUACUACUGAUCCUGUGGCUUCAGCUGAGCUGGGUGCACAGCCAACAGAAGGCUGUGGAGCAAAGUCCUGCAGCCCUCAGUGUUCCAGAGGGAGCCAUGGCCUCCCUCAACUGCACUUACAGUGACAGUGCUUCUCAGAACUUCAUGUGGUAUCAACAGUAUUCUGGGAAAGGUCCAAAGCUGCUGAUGUUCAUAUACUCCAAUGGUGAAAAAGGUCAAGGAAGAUUCACAGCGCAGCUUGAUACAGCCAAGCGGCAUCUUUUCCUGCACAUCCGAGGCUCCCAGCUCAGUGACUCAGCCACCUACCUCUGUGCAGUGAGCACACAGUGCUCCCCAGGAACCUGCAGCUGCACAGAAACCUACUGUCUCAGGAGGCCUGAGGUAGAGCAUAGACCACAGAGAAGAGAGUCUUUUGUGCUCUAAAUGUGAUGGGAAUUAAGAGUAAUAAACAUUGCAUUAGGAGUGUAAUCCCCAAACAGUAAUUCAAAGGGAAGAAAGGAGUCAAGAAAAAAAUCCAAUUUGGGAAAGUG
Molecule: non-coding RNA, 629 nt
Organism: Marmota flaviventris (yellow-bellied marmot)
Lineage: Eukaryota; Metazoa; Chordata; Mammalia; Rodentia; Sciuridae
Source: the annotation of a RefSeq genome assembly